UAUAACUUAUGGUCCAAGAGGUCCGGGUACAAUCCCAAGAAAGAUGGCACCAGACAUUUUUAUAGACACAGGCAACUUCUUCCAGCUCAUCUACAAAACAGUUUAUUCUUCCUUUCUUAUAUAUUUAUUUUCAAGGUGGCUGGGAUUCUGUCAGUCCAUGAUCUACAGCUACAAGUCAAACUACAGUUCUUUGCAAGCAGUGGGUUUUUACAUUGGCCGUGCAGUCUGGCGUUUCAAUAUCUUCAGGAGCAGCCUGGAAGACACGCACCUUUGGGGAGUAGUCCGUGUGGACGACCCAGUUCCUUGCCGAUUUCAUUGACUAAAGCGUCAUAGGAGACCGAAACAUUGGGACAGCAGGCGUCAGGAAGAAGGCCCUUGCCUUCUUGAUACACAAAUAUCUGGCCGGGUUCUCUUGAAGACCCUGACCUGGAGUUACACGCUGACUACGGUUCUUUGCAGGAAUGGGACCAGCUCUCAGGGUUUCAUAACUGGCCAUUGUUUGGCACACCAAGGGCUCGGCCUAGGACCUCAGGUUUCUGGAGACAGGCGGAUGGUAGUUGCUGCCUUGAGUUCCUCCAGCAUUUCAUGUGUUGCUCCAGCUUUCCAGAUCUGCAGUCUCCUGUCUCCAUAGUACACAGAAGAAUUGGCUUCAUCCUCUUUGCAUCAAUAACAACUUUUAUACUUUCAACAAAUGGAAAACUAUUCUCUCUAAGCAGGGCUGAAACUUGAAAAGGAUUACGCUCAGAACAAAUAGUUUAAGUAUAGUAAAUCUUUUGUGGUCUGCUGUGCUGCAAGUUCUAGACACUAUAUUCUAGGGUAGGUCCAUACCUGGAUCCAGGAAAUCAGUUGUACUGAAAAUGAAAAUAUUUUUAAAAAGCUGCUCUAUUCAUGGUUGCUUGCUUAAAUUAAGCUUAAUUUGUGAAAAAUGGGCUACUUGGGAGAGAAUUAGGCUAUUGGUAGUCCACACAGCAUUAACAGAAUAGUAGUGUACAGCUUUACAAGGGUAAUCUGCUCUAUACGACAAAACACAACACUCAAGUCUGUGGUGAUAUCACGUGUAAGAACGUGAUUGGACAGAGUUCUGAGCAUGCACAGAAAUGACAGAAUGAUCUAGAAGCAUGGCAGUGUUAAACGUGGUUGCUGUUUGCUGUUAAAUAAAAGUUCUAGUUAUGGCCUUCCAGAAUAUGUUUCUUUAUGAGUAAUCCAUGGUACGUAUAAAGAACACAAUAUGGUGUCAGAAGUCGGUCUGGAAGAAUAAUACUAAAACGGGAGAAUUGAAGAUAAUCGGAAUAAAAAGAGCGCAAACAGUUUUGGUGUUUGCUAACAGUUUUACAAAUGGAAGGGCUCUAACCUCCGAAAACACCUCAGCUGACUGGGAACGUGGCUGAAAACUGGAAAAAAUUUAAACAGUGUUUUGAAAUGUGUUUAUUGGCAAUCAGAGCAGAAAGUAAAAUGGAAAAAAUGAGAGCUGCCAUCCUACUCCACGUGAUUGGUGACGACGCCAUUGAGGUAUAAAAUCAUUUUACUUUUGAGAAUGGAGAUAAUUUGAAUCUAAAAGCGAUAAUGGACAAAUCUGACCCAUUUUGUAUAUCGAAGGCAAUGUGACGUAAGAACAGUACAAAUUUUUCAAAUGUCGGCAGAGACUUAGUCAAAUGAUUGAUCAAUUUGUUAUAGAGUUGAGGCACCACAGUAAAACUUGCAAGUUUGCAGAGCUCACAGACUCUCUCAUUAAAGACGGAAUUGUUUAUGACAUUUUGGAUAAUGGUCUGAGAGAAAGACUGUUAAGAGAACAAGACAUUAACCUGGAAAAAGGUUCGAGUCUGUGUAAAGCUUCAGAAACUGUGGUGUCACAGGCAAAAGAGCUUUUUAUUGACAGCUGCGUAGACGCUGUAAAGCGCGAACAUAUUAGAAACAAUAAUGAAGUGAAAAUGAAACCAACAGAGAGCAAGACGUCAUCUGAAAGAAAAAAAUUAUGUGAUUGCUGUGGGCGGCAGCACUGAUCAAAAAGUGACAGAAAAUGUGCAACGACUGCGGUAAGAGUAAUAACUUUUCACGUUGUUGCAGAAAUAGAAAGGAAAUUAAAAACCAUAAAUGCAGAGCUUGAAAAUGAAUGUGAGGAGUUUUAUAUUGAUGUGCUUUGUGAAAACAAAGUAAGAAUGACUGGACUGUGCCAUUGCAAGUGAAUCAAAACAAUAUUCUGUUUAAAUUGGAUACUGGAGCACAAGUAAAUAUUCUUGAAGAAUCUUGCAUUAAAGACAAGACCAAUGUUACAUCAGACAAAUAUAAAAGUGACUGGGUAUUCAGGUGCAGACAUUCCAGUUAAAGGAACAUGUGUGGUGAAAGUAUCACACAAAAAUAGUGUGCACACACUUUCAUUUGUGGUCAUGCCAAGAAAUGUACAGUCAAUAUACUUGGUUUAGCUGCCUGAGAGACUGAAUUUGGUGAAAAGAUUCUUAGUCCUGACAGUGACACAGAGUCAGAAUACAGUGACUUGAUGAAAGAUCAAAGAGAACAGUUUGAUUCUAAUGUGGCAAAGGUAAAAGAAGUCAUAAAGGAAGAUCCCAGACCCAUCCCUUUGUUACUAAACUUGCCGCUACAGUACAAUACUGAUCUGAAGGCAGAGUGACAAGAAUCAGGAUCCCUUUGAAGAAGUAAAAGCACAAGAGAAGAAAUUGAGAAGUUUUAUUGAAAUGAAGUCUCAGCAUAAAAAAAUACAGUCAAUGAAGAAUGAAUUAGAUGAAGAAAAGAAGAUUCGUAUUUCAUUACAAAUGGAAGUGGAAGGAAUUAAGAAAGCUACAGUACUUGAAGGUUCAACCCAGAUCAUACAUGGUCCAAAUAGAAAAAGGAGCAGUGUUAAGAAGAAAUCACAAAGACCUCAAGAAAGAGCCGGCUUCAGGGUUUCAAUUAACUGAUGCAGACCAGACGAAACAUGAAAAUAACAACGAAACACAAGAACUGUGUGAACCACUUAGAAAGUCUACUUGUGUUCGUAAACCCCCAGAGAGACUGAUAGACAUGUUAAAUUAUGCAUUUAUUUUGAUUAAUGUUGCUAAUUGUUUUUCUUUUGAAGGAAAGGAAGAUGUGGUGAUAUCACAUCAUGUAUAAGAACGUGAUUGGACAGAGUUCUGAGCAUGCCCAGAAAUGAUGGAAUAAUCUAGAAGCGUAGCAGUGUCAAUCAUGGUUGCUGUUAAAUAAAAGUUCUAGUUAUGUUCUUCCAGAAUGUGUUUCUUUAUGAGUAACCCACGAUACGUAUA
Hypanus sabinus (Atlantic stingray) is the source of this 3254-nucleotide long non-coding RNA. RefSeq lists it as uncharacterized. The transcript is spliced from 3 exons. The record is from RefSeq and is a predicted model, not a curated record. Lineage: Eukaryota; Metazoa; Chordata; Chondrichthyes; Myliobatiformes; Dasyatidae.